AUGGUGGGGGAGGACCAAGUGGUGGCCUUCUUUGGUGACUUCAUGGGCGUGUCAGCCCUCAUCUCCACUUUGUCAUUGACGACAUCUACGGCCAUGACCCUCCGCCAUCCACUUACUUGGCACCUCGGUACGCAAAUUAAAUCCUUCUUCACCUGGCUGGGCCGUUUUUGUUCUGGAAUUCGGAUGCUUGAGCUGGUGGAGCAGGGUAUGAUUAUGAUCUGUGUAAUGGGUGUAGAGUGGGAGGGGCUGCCGUUCCAGUUCAGCAGGGGCUGCACCUUCUACCGCAGUGAUCCCAACCUGCAUGGGCAGCAGCAGAUUCAGAUUGUUAACUCUAUCAUCUUUCAGUACCAUGAUGUGUGUGCAUAUCUCUUUGGUUCUCAAACAAGAGCUGCAUGUCUUUCAGUUUGCACUGUGGAUGAAGUGCAGUGUUUGGAGAUGGUGGCCCAUGACGAGGAUUUCAGGGGAGAUCGUACUAUGACUAUAACAAGAGGCCGAGAUUUGACUUGCAUUGUAUGCGUAAAGCAGGUUCAAGAGCUCCGAGCCAACAAUCGCCAGAGCUUUGAAAAAGAUAUUCUUCUAAAAGUUCCACUAUUCACUUUGCUCCUCUUGAAGACGCCCUCCCUGGACAACUUGGAUUCAGUCAUCAGGUUCAUGAAUCAUGAUAGGUUUCUGCUGGAUGCCUCCUUCUCCGUCUCCAUCAUCCGCUUGCGCUUUGAGAGAGGAGUAGAUUUACCUCAAGCUCAUGAAGCAGAGAAUUGA
This 759-nucleotide ribosomal RNA is filed under the name Triticum aestivum (bread wheat). Its description in RNAcentral is "partial small subunit ribosomal RNA". The record is from RNAcentral. Lineage: Eukaryota; Viridiplantae; Streptophyta; Magnoliopsida; Poales; Poaceae.